UUAAUUUUAAAAUUAAUUUUAUAAAGUUUUUAGAGAAUUGUUUUAUAUUCAAUCAGUACCAAAUAAAAUUAAAUGUGUUAGUAACUCCAUUGAAAGUGCCACUAGCCCAGUGCUAAAAUACCUUGCCAUUAGUCCUAAUCAACCCCGAAUUCAAAUCCAGGGGUGUACUUUUUUUUUAUUUUCAAAUCAUGUGAAAUAACGUCGUUUCAUCUCAUUUGAAAACGACGUCGUUUCGCUUAACGCCAACAUUUAACACCGUCUUAACUGUGAGUUCACGGUGAAUUCUCAAUGAUUAUCUCAUUUUUAUCUUAAAAUUUUCAAGGAUACAGCCAUACAGAUUGUCUUCAUUUCUAAAAUCUACUUCAAAAUAUAUAGUUUAAUUACCUGUCUUUCCCUUUGUACCAUGAUGAGACCUUAUAACUUAAUUAAUUUACAAAUUAAUGCCACAACGAAUCAAGUGUAACUUAUGUUUUUCUUCUAUAUAUUCAUGUACAUCGGUUCAUAAUAAUAAGCCAGUUUCAAGAUUUAAUAACUUUAUAAAGUUAUCCACGUGUCGUAUGCCAGAUUAUUAUGAAUCUCUUGUAUAAGAUGACUAAGAUUUUGUUUCUAGUUACGUUAAAAAUGAUUCGUGAUUAGUUGAUAGGGUUUUCAUAUAUAUUCCCAUGUGUGGUUUAAGAUCGUGAGCUAUGCAUAUCGUUACGUCUUACAUGGUUUCCAUUCCACAUUAUUGUUAUACUAUACCAUUUAUUUUACAUUUAUUUUGUCAUAUAGAUCCUAACAUUUUUAUCUUUUUCUUUUGUUUCUCAGGUUACAAAUUAAAGAUUUAGGCUGCCAAGUAAAUUGUUCGAAACUGGAUUUGGACCAUCUGGUGAAUAUAUUCUCAUUUAUAUGUAAUGAUGCAAUGUGUAUAUAAGCCUAAUAGAUCGUGUGUACGUAAAAUGGAAAGACCAUUCAUGUGAAAUGAAUUAUAUAAUAUUUACUAUUUGUUGUAUUCUAUUUUAUUUGCAGAAUAUAAAAUAUAAAUAUGAUUGUACAGUGCAUAAGUAUAAAUUAUGUUUUGUUGUUGUAUCGUUGCUAUCAAAACUAAGAAUUUAAAUCUCAAUUUUAUCAUUUUGUUAACCAGAUCCACAUAAGUGUAAACUUCACAUAAAUUUCGUUAACCACAGCUACAUUUGGGCCAUAAUCUUACAGUACUUCGGCCAUAUGGAAUAGAACAUUCAGUACAUAUAUAUGUGGUCAAUAGUAUAUAUUAUUUCAGAUUUUAAUCUUAUUCAAAAUAUUAUAACUAUAUUUUAUAGUUUACAUUUGGGUUUGAGUUUAGUGAUUGGAAUUUAGGGUUUAGUAUUUAGGAGUUGGGAUAAUGUUUAAUAUUUAGGAGUUGUGAAUGAAGUCAUAAUCCUAUACUAUUUCAUCCAUGUGGAAUAGAGCAUUUGAUGCGUAUGUAUAUGGUCAAUAGUAUAUACUAUUUCAUAUUUUAAUUUUAUUCAAAAUAUUAUAACUAUAUAUUAUAGUUUACAUUUUGGUUUAGUGAUUGGAGUUUAGGGUUUAGUAUAUAGGAUUUGUGGUAAUGUUUAAUAUUUAGGAGUUGUGUAUGGAGUUAUAAUCCUAUACUACUUCGACCAUGUGGAAUAAAACAUUCAGUGCAUGUGUAUGUGGUCAAUAAACAUGUGACAUGGAUGAUUCUUUCUUUUUCGUGUAAAAUAGUUUCUAGAUACAUUUAACUAUAUAUUUAUUGGUGACAUGGAUAUAUAGACCAUAUUUUUACCGGGUAAUGACAAAGAAAAAAGGUAUAACCGGAUAAAUUAGAAUGUAAAUGUAAGUUUUUUUAUUAUGUCAAAAUCAUUGUUAUUUACCUGAUUUAUCUUCAAAAUAUGGUUGGUACACAAAUAAGCCCUUUCAUUAACCCUAAAAGUAGUCUAAGAAAAAGAAAAAAAAGAAAAAAGAAACAAGUCUAAGACGAACAGAUCAAACUAUUCACAAAUGUUGCUAUCUAUAACUAUAAAGGAGAGUUUUCUCUCACCUCCUGCAGCCACGUCAUUUAGGAGAUAUGGGCUUUUUUUCGCCACGUGGCAACUCAAUCACUUCAGAUUCAGCCGUACCUUUUCCUCUUCGCCUCGGUUCUACGAGGUAACGUCGAGUUGAAUCAAUGAAACCCAUUACCUCUUCUUAAAUGACUCUUUUCUCCGAUCAAUUUCACAAGUGAGUUUCAUAGUUCUUCUGUCUGCUAACGUUUUUUCAAGAGUUCUCCAGAAAAGAUCCAAAAAUGAAUGGUUAAUUUCCAGAUUCUAUUUUCAGAAUUGAAGGAAGGUCAUUGCAGAGAAAAGGGGUAAGUUCAUAGGUGUUGACAUGGUUCUGAUUGACGGGAAGAUUAUCUGAUUCUCUUUAAUCUCUUAUAAGUUACUUUAAUCCAUGAUUUUAUUUCAAUCCUUCACCAUCUAGAUUCAAACACCUGCUCAAACAAGGAUCCUUUUAUGAGCUAACUGUUUUUGAUGUCACCAGGAGCAUCCAAAACUUCAGAUUCGCUGAUGCCCCUGUUUCAAUCAGAUUCGUAGAGCAAACAAGUUUCGUCGAUAUCUCAGCUAGCAAUAACCCUAGCCCAACAAAGAGCUUCAGGUUUUGUAAAUUUCGACCAGCUAUUGUCACUGGCUAACACAAACACUGAAUUGCCAGUUAGACACUUCAUUACCUGACCUAUAAUUAAUUUCAUCCUCUAAAAUCUGCCAUUAAUCCUUAUGUUUCUCUGCAGAUAUCAUUGGGGGAGGUGCGGGGCAUAAGGACUACUUAGACCGAGAUACCAAUCCACUUGACGCCUCAUGUCUGAAGCCUGAACUCAUUACUUGCUUCACAUAGAUCCCCUUAGCGGUUUGGUUGUUGUCGUCUGACCUUACGUCGUUUACAUGACAUCUAGAUUACAUCUUCAGGUUUAGUUAACAUGCUUCCCUGAAGUACUAAUUAAGUCUGUGUGUGGUUAGGGAAAAUGUUCAUUCUCUGUGUUGUUGACUGCUUCCUGCUAUUCUGAGAUAUCUAAUUUUAGGAACUGUGGAUCCAAUUUAAUAUAUACAACUUUAUUUGUCUUUGGUACAGAACAGAGGAAGAAGUUUGGAAUAGGAAAACAUUCUCUCUUAACCCUUAGUUUCUCUGUAUCAAACUUUUUAAAAAAAAAUAUAUUAUGUGAUGAAUGUCAUGAUAAAAGUCUAUAACUUUGUGUAGUGGUAUUAAUUUUUAUUCAUUUUGCUCUGUAUCUUUUGAUAUUUUCAUAUGUGGAAAGGUGGAGGCUAUGGGUUGCAAAAUGUCAUUUAAUUGUUAAUGUCCGACUGUCUGAAUGCUCAACUUUGCAGGGACGGACCCGCAUGCAUAAGUGUAUUUGGCAACCUCGCAGAGCUCAUCGAUGAGGAAUUAGUAAUGUCAGGUGUGGAACCAAAGGUUGUUGUAGCCACCAAUAUCAACCCUAAAUUAGUUGGAGAGUUGGUCACCACAAGGUUGGUCUCGGUAGGAAGGUUCAUCCUCAACGUCUACAAAAUAUGGUGGUGUUAAGAAGAUCGGAACGUUAACACUGUCUGAGCUAAAUGCUUAUAUCACAUCUCCCCACAGGUGACCACUUUCACGUAACCCAUCUGUUAGUGCGUUUCUUGACCGACAAUUUCUUUCACUUUCGUUGGUGCCUUAUCCAAAGGUUUGAAACCAACUUCUCUGCUCUUCCACUGAUAAAAUACUGAAUAUAUUAAAAAUAUUAAUUGGAUCGAACUGUUCUCUUUUGUUUUGAGUGCAGUGUCCCUGAGAUAAAAGAGCAAACAACGAAAGAAAGCUUUCUGUUACAUGGUAUCUCACCAGAAUCAAUCUUUUUUGGACCGUGAGUAUCUUCAACCACAGAAUGUAAUGUCUUCUUUUUUUUAAUUUUAACACAGAAAUAGUAAUCAGCUCGAUAUAGCUUUACAUCAAAAAAAUUCAGGACAUAGAUCAAAAUGUUGUCUCAGUUCAGACGCAUGCAUUUGGUUUCUUUAAUCAGGUAUUGCAAUGAGGAAAGUAAGAUGAACGUUGUGUAUGAGUAUAUGAAAAAAGGAAUGCUUAAAGACCAUCUGUAUGACUCGGAUAAUCCUAGGUUGAGCUGGAGACAGAAGCUUGAGAUAUGCGCUAAAGGGCUUCACUAUCUCCAUACAGGUUCCGCUAGAGCCAUUAUACACUGCGUGUGAAGUCUGCUUCAGGCCAUUGAAGCUCUCGACCCGAACUACGAACUGGUAGUUUACUAGAACCACAAGAAGCAAACUCAAUCGGAAUAGAAAGACAACUUCAUAUCAUCAAACUGAUCCGUGGUUUGAGCAAAUUUGAUGUAACAAAAGCUCCGAGAGCAACUCCAAGACAACAAGAGUGACUACCUUUUGGAUAGAUAGAGAACAUUUCUUUCUUUCAUUUUUUUUUGUUGCAUUCAUCCAGAGUCUUUUGUUCUUUUUAUUCUCAGCAAAAUUUUCAGUAACCAAAUAACCUACCUUAGCGUUAUAAACGUAUAACUAGGAACAAUAAAUGUUUGAUUCUUUUGCUAAUGCCAUCUGAUAAUAAUACAAAAGAAAUUCAAUCCUUUGUAUUGCUCAACAUGUAAACUAAAGAAUUUAACCAAAUUUGAGUGUUUUCAAAAACUGAGAUACAAGUUUAUUUUGUAACGACUUCCUUGGUCGGGGUGGGUUGGGGACCAUAUUAUCUCAUUUCUCCUGCUCUUGGCUGGGAGGUCGGGAUAAUGCUUCUUUCUUGGCAAAGCAGUUGAUGGAGCUUUGUUAGCUUAAAUCCUGGGCCCUUUCAAGGAAAAUUUCAUGGGAACGUUCUUAAGUGUGACAAUCGUUGCUUUCUUGUGCUCUGUUAAGCUUCACAUGAUGUC
Long non-coding RNA from Brassica napus (rape), 4867 nucleotides. RefSeq lists it as uncharacterized. The transcript has 3 exons. NCBI's taxonomy places the organism in Eukaryota, Viridiplantae, Streptophyta, Magnoliopsida, Brassicales, Brassicaceae. The record is from RefSeq and is a predicted model, not a curated record.